GACGAACGCUGGCGGCGUGCUUAACACAUGCAAGUCUAACGGUGAAGCGCCUUCCUUUUUGGUGGGUGUGGAUGAGUGGCGAACGGGUGAGUAACACGUGAGUAACCUGCCCCCUUCUUCUGGAUAACCGCAUGAAAGUGUGGCUAAUACGGGAUAUUCUGGGUCUGUCGCAUGAUGGGUCUGGGAAAGAUAUUGUUUCGGUGGGGGAUGGGCUCGCGGCCUAUCAGCUUGUUGGUGGGGUGAUGGCCUACCAAGGCGGUGACGGGUAGCCGGCCUGAGAGGGUGGACGGUCACACUGGGACUGAGACACGGCCCAGACUGCUACGGGAGGCAGCAGUGGGGAAUAUUGCACAAUGGGCGCAAGCCUGAUGCAGCGACGCCGCGUGAGGGAUGGAGGCCUUCGGGUUGUGAACCUCUUUCGCCAGUGAAGCAGGCCUGCCUCGUUUGUGGGUGGGUUGACGGUAGCUGGAUAAGAAGCGCCGGCUAACUACGUG
This 494-nucleotide ribosomal RNA is filed under the name uncultured bacterium. RNAcentral describes it as "partial 16S ribosomal RNA". It matches the Rfam family "Bacterial small subunit ribosomal RNA", at positions 28 to 507 of the family's 1533-position model. The record is from RNAcentral.